Molecule: ribosomal RNA, 253 nt
Filed under: uncultured Oscillospira sp.
Lineage: Bacteria; Bacillati; Bacillota; Clostridia; Eubacteriales; Oscillospiraceae
Description: partial 16S ribosomal RNA
Rfam family: Bacterial small subunit ribosomal RNA
Source: RNAcentral
UACGGAGGAUUCAAGCGUUAUCCGGAUUUAUUGGGUUUAAAGGGUGCGUAGGCGGUCGGAUAAGUUAGAGGUGAAAUCCCGCGGCUCAACCGCGGAACUGCAUUUGAAACUGUUUUUCUUGAGUAUCGGAGAGGUAACCGGAAUUCCUAGUGUAGCGGUGAAAUGCGUAGAUAUUAGGAAGAACACCAGUGGCGAAGGCGGGUUACUGGACGACAACUGACGGUGAGGCGCGAAAGCGUGGGGAGCAAACAGG